GCAAACUUGGUCAUUUAGAGGAAGUAAAAGUCGUAACAAGGUCUCCGUAGGUGAACCUGCGGAGGGAUCAUUACCGAGCUCGCGCCCCCGGGCCGACCUCCCACCCGUGCGAUCGCUACGACCGUUGCUUUGGCGGGCCACCGCGCCCGCCAGAGGCCCGCAGACCCUCGAUGUCCGCGUCGUCCGAGCGCCAUGUAAUCGUUAAAACUUUCAACAACGGAUCUCUUGGUUCUGGCAUCGAUGAAGAACGCAGC
This 254-nucleotide unclassified non-coding RNA is filed under the name uncultured fungus. RNAcentral's name for it is "partial contains small subunit ribosomal RNA, internal transcribed spacer 1, and 5.8S ribosomal RNA". The stretch from base 1 to 73 matches the Rfam family "Eukaryotic small subunit ribosomal RNA", at positions 1759 to 1831 of the family's 1831-position model. Lineage: Eukaryota; Fungi. The record is from RNAcentral.